This 466-nucleotide ribosomal RNA is filed under the name uncultured bacterium. Its description in RNAcentral is "partial 16S ribosomal RNA". It matches the Rfam family "Bacterial small subunit ribosomal RNA", at positions 28 to 507 of the family's 1533-position model. The record is from RNAcentral.
GAUGAACGCUGGCGGCGUGCUUAACACAUGCAAGUCGAACGAUGAAGCCCAGCUUGCUGGGUGGAUUAGUGGCGAACGGGUGAGUAACACGUGAGUAACCUGCCCUUGACUCUGGGAUAAGCCUGGGAAACUGGGUCUAAUACUGGAUAUGACUUCUCAUCGCAUGGUGGGGGGUGGAAAGAUUUAUUGGUCUUGGAUGGACUCGCGGCCUAUCAGCUUGUUGGUGAGGUAAUGGCUCACCAAGGCGACGACGGGUAGCCGGCCUGAGAGGGUGACCGGCCACACUGGGACUAAGACACGGCCCAGACUCCUACGGGAGGCAGCAGUGGGGAAUAUUGCACAAUGGGCGCAAGCCUGAUGCAGCGACGCCGCGUGAGGGAUGACGGCCUUCGGGUUGUAAACCUCUUUCAGUAGGGAAGAAGCGAGAGUGACGGUACCUGCAGAAGAAGCGCCGGCUAACUACGUG